GGAUUGUGGCUCAGUGGCACAGCACUUGCCUCACAUAUAUGAGGCCCUGGGUUCAAUCCUCAGCACCA
RNAcentral lists this transfer RNA (68 nucleotides) under Marmota monax (woodchuck). Its description in RNAcentral is "tRNA.Val". The record is from RNAcentral. Lineage: Eukaryota; Metazoa; Chordata; Mammalia; Rodentia; Sciuridae.